UACGUAGGGAGCAAGCGUUGUCCGGAAUCAUUGGGCGUAAAGCGCGCGUAGGCGGCCUCGUAAGUCCGUUGUGAAAGUCAAAGGCUCAACCUUUGAAAGCCGAUGGAUACUGUGAGGCUAGAGUCCGGAAGUGGCGAGUGGAAUUCCUGGUGUAGCGGUGGAAUGCGCAGAUAUCAGGAGGAACACCAAUAGCGAAGGCAGCUCGCUGGGACGGUACUGACGCUAAGGCGCGAAAGCGUGGGGAGCGAACAGG
This 253-nucleotide ribosomal RNA is filed under the name uncultured bacterium. RNAcentral describes it as "partial 16S ribosomal RNA". It matches the Rfam family "Bacterial small subunit ribosomal RNA", at positions 524 to 776 of the family's 1533-position model. The record is from RNAcentral.